AUUGAACGCUGGCGGCAUGCUUUACACAUGCAAGUCGAACGGUAACAGGUCUUCGGAUGCUGACGAGUGGCGAACGGGUGAGUAAUGUAUCGGAACGUGCCCAGUAGUGGGGGAUAACUACUCGAAAGAGUGGCUAAUACCGCAUGAGAACUGAGGUUGAAAGCGGGGGGACCUUCGGGCCUCGCGCUACUGGAGCGGCCGAUAUCAGAUUAGGUAGUUGGUGGGGUAAAGGCCUACCAAGCCGACGAUCUGUAGCUGGUCUGAGAGGACGACCAGCCACACUGGGACUGAGACACGGCCCAGACUCCUACGGAGGCAGCAUGGGGAAUUUUGGACAAUGGACGCGAAGUCUGAUCCAGCAAUGCCGCGUGCAGGACGAAGGCCUCGG
RNAcentral lists this ribosomal RNA (388 nucleotides) under uncultured bacterium. RNAcentral's name for it is "bacterial SSU rRNA". It matches the Rfam family "Bacterial small subunit ribosomal RNA", at positions 30 to 420 of the family's 1533-position model. The record is from RNAcentral.